Alosa sapidissima (American shad) is the source of this 1030-nucleotide long non-coding RNA. RefSeq lists it as uncharacterized. Lineage: Eukaryota; Metazoa; Chordata; Actinopteri; Clupeiformes; Clupeidae. The record is from RefSeq and is a predicted model, not a curated record. The transcript is spliced from 3 exons.
CCGUAAAGCAAUUUGUGAUCCUCCAGGUCAGGGGAGUGAAGUUGCAAGGCUGCUUCUCCAUGGUCAGGUAGCUCAUGAUUGGGAAGGCACACCAUUCUCCCUGUUACAAGUUAGUUAACCUUCAAAAUGAAGCUGUUAUAUCAAGAUACUCUCCCAAGGAGCGGAGGCCUCUUCACUGAAACUGAAUAGUAACCACAAGAUGAUAUUUCAGUCCUCAAGGGAUUCACAACAGACUACUUCAAAAGACAAGUCCCCUCACAUCAAUUCUGUCAUCUUGAUGGAUGGCAGGGCCCACUUGAAAAUGCACGCUCCAGUUCAAGGGGAAGGCGAGUGUGAAAGAUGCCGGAGAGAGGCUGCCGAGGCAGACGGCGCUGGGAACUCCGGGAGCAGCUGUCACUACAGGCAUCCGCAGGAAGCGCGGCCAUCUCCUGGGAGGCUGGAGCGGGUUAUUAUUUUUAUGCUAGCGCACCUCCAGAUUACCUUCUCAUUAUCACCACUCUGAGUUAGAUACCGCUGGCAGCAUCUCCAUGCAGGGAGGGUUGGGGAAAAAAAAAAAAAAAACAAUGAGGAUUUUCCUGCUAUAGCCAGCAGGGAGUUAAUUCAAUCAUUCCCCCUUAAAAGCUGUCUGCUGUUACAAUUGUAACUAUAUGGGUGGAUCAGAAGGAGGAUCCUCCCCUCUUCAAAAAAAAAAAAGUACUUUCAGGGUUUUAGUGAGAAAGCUAGAGGCAGGUGCUAAUUUUAGUCCUACCAGAGACAAUUAAUGAUCUUAUUUAGCACAAAAUGGGCGAAUGCAAAAUAGUGCCCAAUUAUAUGUUGAGAUCUUUAAAACGAAGACACGAAAGCAAAAUUAGUGUCUUCUGUAAUAACAGGAUGGCAAAAUUGCACAUAAUUAAUACUUACCUGUGCAGUGUAAUGCUGUUAACUUCAAUGUAGAAAGGUAUAAUGGGAGUCUUUUGAGGUUUCAUGUUGUAACAGUUGAUUUUGUUAUGCUUGACCUCAAUCAUGACAGUGUCAACUGAUAAAGCUGAUG